Molecule: ribosomal RNA, 253 nt
Filed under: uncultured bacterium
Lineage: Bacteria
Description: partial 16S ribosomal RNA
Rfam family: Bacterial small subunit ribosomal RNA
Source: RNAcentral
UACGUAGGGGGCAAGCGUUGUCCGGAAUCAUUGGGCGUAAAGAGCGUGUAGGCGGCCCGAUAAGUCCGCCGUGAAAGUCCAGGGCUCAACCCUGGGAUGCGGGUGGAUACUGUCGGGCUCGAGUCCGGAAGAGGCGAGUGGAAUUCCCGGUGUAGCGGUGAAAUGCGCAGAUAUCGGGAGGAACACCAAUGGCGAAGGCAGCUCGCUGGGACGUGACUGACGCUGAGACGCGAAAGCGUGGGGAGCAAACAGG